This 458-nucleotide ribosomal RNA is filed under the name Amaeana gremarei. RNAcentral's name for it is "Amaeana sp. g GD-2020 partial large subunit ribosomal RNA". It matches the Rfam family "Bacterial large subunit ribosomal RNA", at positions 1953 to 2608 of the family's 2925-position model. The record is from RNAcentral. Lineage: Eukaryota; Metazoa; Annelida; Polychaeta; Terebellida; Terebellidae.
AAGGUAGCAUAAUAAAUCGCCCUUUAAUUGUGGGCUAGAAUGAAUGGACAAACGAAAAAGAAUCUGUCUCAAAAAUAACAAUAUAAAUUAUUCUUCAGGUGAAGAAACCUGAAUAAAAUUAAAGGACAAGAAGACCCUGUAGAGCUUAGUUCUCUUUUAUUAACUAAGUCAAUAACUAUAACCAUUAUCUUAUUCAUCUACUUUAAUAUAGAACUUAGCUGGGGCGGCUAGGGAAAAUAAUCUUCCCCUCUAAUAAAUAGGCUAAUAAGCCUUACACUUGACCCUUAAAAUUUAAGAUCAAAAAACAAAGCUACCUCAGGGAUAACAGAUUAAUCCUUCUCGAGAGUCCACAUUGACAGAAGGGCUUGACACCUCGAUGUUGGCUUAAGGUUCCCAAUAAAUCAGCAGCAGUUUAUUAUGGUAGGUUUGUUCAACCUUUAAAACCUUACGUGAUCUGA